AGUGGCGGACGGGUGAGUAACGCGUGAGAAACAGCCUUGGGGUCGGGGACAACCACUGGAAACGGUGGCUAAUACCGGAUAAGCCGAUUGGUGAAAGAUUUAUUGCCCGAAGAGGAGCUCGCGUCUGAUUAGCUAGUUGGUGAGGUAAGAGCUCACCAAGGCAGCGAUCAGUAGCUGGUCUGAGAGGACGAUCAGCCACACUGGGACUGAGACACGGCCCAGACUCCUACGGGAGGCAGCAGUGGGGAAUUUUCCGCAAUGGGCGAAAGCCUGACGGAGCAAGACCGCGUGAGGGAGGAAGGCUCUUGGGUUGUAAACCUCUUUUCUCAGGGAAGAAGCUCUGACGGUACCUGAGGAAUCAGCCUCGGCUAACUCCGUGCCAGCAGCCGCGGUAAUACGGAGGAGGCAAGCGUUAUCCGGAAUUAUUGGGCGUAAAGCGUCCGCAGGUGGCGAUUCAAGUCUGCUGUCAAAGCACGGGGCUUAACUCCGUAAAGGCAGUGGAAACUGAAUAGCUAGAGUGCCGUAGGGGUAGAGGGAAUUCCCGGUGUAGCGGUGAAAUGCGUAGAGAUCGGGAAGAGCAUCGGUGGCGAAAGCGCUCUACUGGACGGCAACUGACACUCAGGGACGAAAGCUAGGGGAGCGAAUGGGAUUAGAUACCCC
RNAcentral lists this ribosomal RNA (660 nucleotides) under uncultured bacterium. RNAcentral's name for it is "bacterial SSU rRNA". It matches the Rfam family "Bacterial small subunit ribosomal RNA", at positions 94 to 788 of the family's 1533-position model. The record is from RNAcentral.